RNAcentral lists this ribosomal RNA (616 nucleotides) under uncultured bacterium. RNAcentral's name for it is "bacterial SSU rRNA". It matches the Rfam family "Bacterial small subunit ribosomal RNA", at positions 61 to 689 of the family's 1533-position model. The record is from RNAcentral.
GUCGAGGGGCAGCAUGUCUUAGCUUGCUAAGGCGAUGGCGACCGGCGCACGGGUGAGUAACGCGUAUCCACCUGCCUUACACUCUUGGACAGCCUUCUGAAAGGGAGAUUAAUACAAGAUGUUUAAGCAUUCGUAAAGGUUUCCGGUGUAAGAUGGGGAUGCGUUCCAUUAGAUAGUAGGCGGGGUAACGGCCCACCUAGUCUUCGAUGGAUAGGGGUUCUGAGAGGAAGGUCCCCCACAUUGGAACUGAGACACGGUCCAAACUCUACGGGAGGCAGCAGUGAGGAAUAUUGGUCAAUGGACGAGAGUCUGAACCAGCCAAGUAGCGUGAAGGAUGAAGGUUUAUGGAUUGUAAACUUCUUUUAUACGGGAAUAACGGAUCCACGCGUGGAUUUCUGCAUGUACCGUAUGAAUAAGGAUCGGCUAACUCCGUGCCAGCAGCCGCGGUAAUACGGAGGAUCCGAGCGUUAUCCGGAUUUAUUGGGUUUAAAGGGAGCGUAGAUGGGUUGUUAAGUCAGUUGUGAAAGUUUGCGGCUCAACCGUAAAAUUGCAAUUGAUACUGGCAGUCUUGAGUACAGUUGAGGUAGGCGGAAUUCGUGGUGUAGCGGUGAAAUGC